This 460-nucleotide ribosomal RNA is filed under the name uncultured organism. RNAcentral describes it as "partial 16S ribosomal RNA". It matches the Rfam family "Bacterial small subunit ribosomal RNA", at positions 329 to 797 of the family's 1533-position model. The record is from RNAcentral.
ACGUACACUCCUACGGGAGGCAGCAGUGGGGAAUAUUGCACAAUGGGCGCAAGCCUGAUGCAGCGACGCCGCGUGGGGGAUGAAGGCCUUCGGGUUGUAAACUCCUUUCGCUAGGGACGAAGCUUUUUUGUGACGGUACCUAGAUAAGAAGCACCGGCUAACUACGUGCCAGCAGCCGCGGUAAUACGUAGGGUGCGAGCGUUGUCCGGAAUUACUGGGCGUAAAGGGCUCGUAGGUGGUUUGUCGCGUCGUCUGUGAAAUUCUGGGGCUUAACUCCGGGCGUGCAGGCGAUACGGGCAUAACUUGAGUGCUGUAGGGGUAACUGGAAUUCCUGGUGUAGCGGUGAAAUGCGCAGAUAUCAGGAGGAACACCGAUGGCGAAGGCAGGUUACUGGGCAGUUACUGACGCUGAGGAGCGAAAGCAUGGGUAGCGAACAGGAUUAGAAACCCUGGUAGUCCCA